UUGAUUGGGAUGAAGCUUUACAAAUAAUCCAACACUUGAUCUGAGUGAUACAUUGUAUCCUUUGAUGUCAAAUGAAUUUGCUUCUGAAUCUUG
Small nucleolar RNA from Ziziphus jujuba (common jujube), 93 nucleotides. RefSeq annotates it as small nucleolar RNA snoR31. The transcript has a single exon. Lineage: Eukaryota; Viridiplantae; Streptophyta; Magnoliopsida; Rosales; Rhamnaceae. The record is from RefSeq and is a predicted model, not a curated record.